GACGAACGCUGGCGGCGUGCUUAACACAUGCAAGUCGAACGGAAAGGCCCGGCGCUUGUGGUGCGCUCGAGUGGCGAACGGGUGAGAAACACGCGUGUAACCCGUCCCUGACUUUGGGAUAAAUUCUGGAAACUGGGGCUAUAAACCGAUAGGAGCUCCUGCUGCACGGUGGGGGUUGGAAAGUUUCGGCGGUUGGGGAUGGACUCGCGGCUUAUCAGCUUGUUGGUGGGGUAGUGGAUGACAAAGGCUACGACGGGUAGCCGGCCUGAGAGGUGGAACGGCCACAUUAGUACUGAGAGAGGGCCCAGUAUGCAACGUGAGGCAGUAGUGGGAAGUAUUACGCAAUGGGCGGAAGCCUGAUGCAGCGGCGCCGCGUGCGUGAUAACGUCCUUCGGGUUAUAAACCGCUUUCGACUGUAACGAAGCGUGAGUGACGGUAAUGGGUCAAAAAGCACCGGCUAACUACGUG
Molecule: ribosomal RNA, 468 nt
Filed under: uncultured bacterium
Lineage: Bacteria
Description: partial 16S ribosomal RNA
Rfam family: Bacterial small subunit ribosomal RNA
Source: RNAcentral